GUCUACGGCCAUGCCACCCUGAAUGCGCCCAAUCUCGUCUGAUCUCGGAAGCUAAGCAGGGUUGGGCCUGGUUAGUUCUUGGAUGGGAGACCACCUAGGAAGACUACCGUAGGUG
RNAcentral lists this ribosomal RNA (115 nucleotides) under Pteropus alecto (black flying fox). The record is from RNAcentral. Lineage: Eukaryota; Metazoa; Chordata; Mammalia; Chiroptera; Pteropodidae.